Molecule: long non-coding RNA, 365 nt
Organism: Mytilus californianus (California mussel)
Lineage: Eukaryota; Metazoa; Mollusca; Bivalvia; Mytilida; Mytilidae
Exons: 2
Source: RefSeq, a predicted model, not a curated record
GCAGUCUGGGAAUUCAUGGCAAGCCAUAACUCUACAAUGUUAUGGUAACCCAUAACCUUUCAAUGUUUUGAGAUUCCAAUACCUAAUCCUCUUUCAUUUUAGUACGGUGACGUCUUCAUUAUCGCUUUCGUUAUAUUCCGGAUCUCAAACCGUUACCUCACCGAAGUCGGUAUUUUGUUUACAUUGACAUCCGGGUCACUGUGUAAAAAUGGACGAACAACAACCUUCGACAUCGCAUUCAAGGGAAGCAUGGCACAGCAAGAAAAAGAUAUAAGACACAACAAGACAUUCAAAGUGAUUUUGAAUAAGACAAUUGAUUGACUUUUUCAAUGUAUUCUUAAAUAAAUCAAAUAGUUGAUGUAAAA